This 2754-nucleotide long non-coding RNA is filed under the name Sus scrofa (pig). RNAcentral describes it as "lncRNA (ENSSSCG00035004230.1)". Lineage: Eukaryota; Metazoa; Chordata; Mammalia; Artiodactyla; Suidae. The record is from RNAcentral.
CUUUUUUUUUUUUUUUUUUUUUUUUUGGUAUGUUUUGUUUUAUUUGAAUGUCUUGACUCUGUGCUGCAAAGAAUCUGGGAAAACUAGAGGUUAGCCUGGAGAGGUUUUUCGGAAAGUUCAGGCUGUCCCUUGGGCUCGGGGUUUAUCCCUGGGGCAGAUGUUCCAGGCUAAGGGUGGAAUUGAAGCUGCAGCUGCCAGCCUAUGCCACAGCCACAGCCACGUGGGAUCUGAGCUGCAUCCUCAACCCACGCCACAGCCUGUGGCAACACCAGAUCCUUAACCCACUGAGCGAGGCCAGGGAUGGAACCCACAUCCUUGUGGACGCUGCUCGGCCCUCCGGAAACUUAGGUGAACGCCAGCUUGGAAUUUUGUCCCAUCCCCCUGCCGCGGGCCGAAUGAUGGUGUCUCCUCCAAAUUCAUGUGUUGAAGCUCUAACCCCCGUGUGUGGGUGUUUGCAGGUGGCCUCUGGAGCCGGCUGCCACCCUGCCAGGGGCAGAGGGCUCUCACCGGGCACUGAAUCCACCGAUGGCGUGAUCCUGGACUUCCUGCCUCCAGAACUCUGCCCUGCCUUCGGGAUGAUGUCCAGAUUCUGACGGUGCUGCAGGUCCUGGCAGGUUGUGACCGACCUGCUGUCCCACCUGAGCUGUCACCCCUGCUCCUGUCACAGCACUCCUGACCGACCUGCUUGCUGCUCCACAGAGUUCUCUCCCGUUCGGGGUGGGGGUUUGCUUCUGUCCAUCCUGCUCUCGGGGGCUCCCUUCAUCCUCCUUUCGUGGCCUGGUCCUUCUUUGUCCCCAAUCUCAAAUGUCACUUCUGCUAAAAUCUCCCCUGGCCCACCUGGGCCCCCUCUCCCCAGAGUCUCCCCUUCAGAGCCACAAGCACCAGGCUGGGCUGCCUCCUGGUCGAAUCCUUUGAGCUUUGCAGCCCCUGCGGCGGCCCCGCCAGGGGAGCUUUCAUCACAGACCGGGCCUGGCAGGUGGGGCCAUGUCCAGGGGGCAGAUGGCCCUGCCCCCACUAGGACACCAGGGUAGAGGCUCUCCGAGCGUGGACCAUGAUAUCAGUGCCACUGGGACGGUCAAGGGUGAAGAUUCUCAGACCUCAUCCAGGCCGGUGAAUCAGAAGCCCCGGGGAGGUGUGCUCCUGCAAGCCCCCCAGGGGAUUCUGAUGCCGGCCAGGUAUGAGAGCCCCGGGCCGGGGAGAGAACUGCCAGGAUGAGCUGCCGCCCCCUUGGCAGCCUCCCCUGUCCCCUGUGCACUCAGGUCUCCACGUCAGCAUCCGAAGCCUCUGUGUCCUGAAGGCGCACUCCGAGGAGACCGUUUGCCACCAAAGCUUAAAGCCAGGUGUCAAUAAACCCACUGGGGACCAGGCCGGAUGGACUUUGGAAGAAAAGGUGCUGCGUGCCCUUCAGCAGUUCCAGCGAAAGGCCCAUCAGUUGGUGCCUCGGUCCCCUGGGCUCCCAGCCAAGCACACCUGACUGGAUUAAUGAGCAUCUGGUUGGGGAAGAAAAGGAGCCAGAGGCGGCAGGCAGGACAUUUGUGAGAGAAGCGGGGGACACCAUUCACCAGCAAGAACAGCAGCAUAAGCCGGCGUGAACUCCAACCAUCCUGGGCAAGUGCCCGGGGGUCCCCUGGCUUGGAACCAGUUGAAGCUGAUUAUGAGAGAUUCCACUGUCAUGCUGCAACCAAGCAAAAACACAAUAUGCACAGUUGCUAGAAAAGUCACCCCUCCGUUGACUGUUGUCUGUGUGCAUCAGAAAGGUGAUGCCACAGACCUGUGGUGAGGGCAAGGUGGAAUGAGACAAGAGUGACAGUUUGGCGUGGAGGGUGGCAUUUGGCUACGUAAGGACACAGCGCGGACCCAAUUACAACUGAGGCCAGAGCCAUUGUAUCCCAGGGUCAAAACGGGGACCUUGCUGUUCCCCUGCUCCAAGCCUCUAAGCAGCUCCCCAUGGUUGACUGAGAGAAGCAGGCCACCUGCACUGAAGACUUGCUCUCCGGACUCCAUCCUGGAAGCACAGGCCUCCUCCCAGCUGGCCUCCAGGAUGUCUCACCCCUGCGCCUCUGCUCCAUGGUGUAUGGAAGUUCCCAGGCUAGGGGUUGAAUUGAAGCUGCAGCUCAGACUCAGCCAGAUCUGAGCCACAUCUGCCACCAACACCACAGCUCACGGCAACACUGGAUCCUUAACCCACUGAGCAAGGCCAGGGAUACUAGUUGGGUUCGUUACUACCGAGCCACCACGGGAGCUCCAGGUGAUCCUUUUGAGGAAAGGAAUUGAGGUUAUUUAAUUGGGGGAGGGUCAGGAGUGCCUGAGCCCCGUCUUGACGUGGUUAUCAAGGUUGGGAAAGAUGUUGUCUGCUCGUCUCCUGUUUUUGCAAAAAGCCACUCAGAUUGAGUUCCAGGAAGGACUGUCUUGCAUGAUGACGCAUUUCGGCCGGGUCCCUAUUCGGGACAGACCCAGGGGAGCAAGCUAGAUUCCGGGGCGAAGCGGCUAAUUCCAACUGGGACGGGGGACUUCAGACGCCAGCCUCCUCUCUGAAGGGGACACUGGGACAGUCUGGGGAGAGAAACCCGAGGCCUUCGGUUUGUGAACAAGCUGGCGGGAACCGCCAGGACGAAGGUGUGGCGAGCGGCCCAGGACAGGGAGGCGGGAAUCUAAAGCUGAUGCAACAGAGACUUGACCCUCUGCUCUGUUCUGCUUGAAGGUGGGUGGGCGACAGCUGUGGCAGGGGGACACCACUGGACAGACAGGCACUCU